RNAcentral lists this long non-coding RNA (561 nucleotides) under Olea europaea subsp. europaea. The record is from RNAcentral. Lineage: Eukaryota; Viridiplantae; Streptophyta; Magnoliopsida; Lamiales; Oleaceae.
GUGGAAUCUGAAGUCUUGUACAUAGACAAAGAUAUAGACAGAUCAUGUUACUUUUUUCAGAAAUACAAAAUAGAACAUUGAUUACUGUCCACUGUCACAAAAGUAUCAUAGAUGUGAUUCAUUCAUGUUUUUCUUUUGAGGUGAUCCCAAUGGUUCAGUUAUCGGUUUUGGAGACUGUGUGAGUCCUUUUUUUGGAUUUUGACUCUGCUUCAAUAGGCACAUUUGAUGGUUGGAAGAGAGACCUUUAUGCAUGCAGUGGAUUGAUUUCUUCAGUAGCGGUGGAAAUGUCAUCGGGUCGUCUGGACACCUUGUUCUUGCCUUUUACGUCUUUGUUGUUGGAAAUUUUUUCUAUUUCAAUUUGCUUGUUUGCAUCUUCUGUAACAAUUGAGGAAACAACUUGAUUUGACGUGGAGGAGUUGAACACGAAUAUUAUUUCAAAACGGUACUCAGGUGGGUCGUGGCGCUUUCUGUUGCCUUGAGGUAAAAGAGUAGCUCUGUAUCACUUUCCAAUUUGACAACGUCAUUGAGUUUUUUAAUACCUUCCUGUGGUUGAGGAAAUAU